GACGAACGCUGGCGGCGUGCUUAACACAUGCAAGUCGAACGGAAAGGCCCUGCUUUUGUGGGGUGCUCGAGUGGCGAACGGGUGAGUAACACGUGAGUAACCUGCCCUUGACUUUGGGAUAACUUCAGGAAACUGGGGCUAUUACCGGAUAGGAGCUCUUGCUGCAUGGUGGGGGUUGGAAAGUUUCGGCGGUUGGGGAUGGACUCGCGGCUUAUCGGCUUGUUGGUGGGGUAGUGGCUUACCAAGGCUUUGACGGGUAGCCGGCCUGAGAGGGUGACCGGCCACGUUGGGACUGAGAUACGGCCCAGACUCCUACGGGAGGCAGCAGUGGGGAAUAUUGCACAGUGGGCGGGAGCCUGAUGCAGCAACGCCGCGUGCGGGAUGACGGCCUUCGGGUUGUGAACCGCUUUCGCCUGUGACGAGGCGUGAGUGACGGUAAUGGGUAAAGAAGCACCGGCUAACUACGUG
This 468-nucleotide ribosomal RNA is filed under the name uncultured bacterium. Its description in RNAcentral is "partial 16S ribosomal RNA". It matches the Rfam family "Bacterial small subunit ribosomal RNA", at positions 28 to 507 of the family's 1533-position model. The record is from RNAcentral.